RNAcentral lists this ribosomal RNA (846 nucleotides) under uncultured bacterium. RNAcentral describes it as "bacterial SSU rRNA". It matches the Rfam family "Bacterial small subunit ribosomal RNA", at positions 8 to 853 of the family's 1533-position model. The record is from RNAcentral.
AGAGUUUGAUCCUGGCUCAGGAUGAACGCUAGCGGCAGGCUUAACACAUGCAAGUCGAGGGGUAACAGGGAAGCUUGCUUCCGCUGACGACCGGCGCACGGGUGCGUAACGCGUAUGCAACCUACCUCAUACUGGAGAAUAGCCCUUGGAAACGAGGAUUAAUGCUCCAUAGUAUCACAGAUUCGCAUGUUUCUGUGAUUAAAGAAUUUCGGUAUGAGAUGGGCAUGCGUCCCAUUAGCUUGUUGGUGAGGUAACGGCUCACCAAGGCAACGAUGGGUAGGGGGCCUGAGAGGGUGACCCCCCACACUGGUACUGAGACACGGACCAGACUCCUACGGGAGGCAGCAGUGAGGAAUAUUGGGCAAUGGAGGCAACUCUGACCCAGCCAUGCCGCGUGAAGGAUGACGGCCCUAUGGGUUGUAAACUUCUUUUAUAUGGGAAGAAACUUAUCUACGUGUAGAUAACUGACGGUACCAUACGAAUAAGGAUCGGCUAACUCCGUGCCAGCAGCCGCGGUAAUACGGAGGAUCCAAGCGUUAUCCGGAUUCAUUGGGUUUAAAGGGUCCGUAGGCGGGUCUUUAAGUCAGUGGUGAAAGCCGACAGCUCAACUGUCGAACUGCCAUUGAUACUGGAGACCUUGAGUACAAAUGAAGUAGGCGGAAUGAGUCAUGUAGCGGUGAAAUGCAUAGAUAUGACUCAGAACACCGAUUGCGAAGGCAGCUUACUAACAUGUAACUGACGCUGAGGGACGAAAGCGUGGGGAGCGAACAGGAUUAGAUACCCUGGUAGUCCACGCCGUAAACGAUCAUCACUCGCUGUUGGCGAUAUACUGUCAGCGGCCAAGCG